ACGCCCACCUGAGGAGGCCACACUACUCUGUUAAGGCAACACACCUGUGAUGCUAUUUUCUUGAGUCAUGACAUUACUUUUGUAGUAAAUAGUUAGUCCUGUAAACAUGAGUAGAAUAUAACUUGCUGCUGUGUGGAUUCCAGAAAUACACAGCAAAGCAGAAAGACUUCUCAGGCUCCUACCUCUCAUCGCCGUAUUCCUUCCAUGGACUGCAGUGAGCAAGAACGAGGGAAAGAAUUGGACAAGCAAAUGUUCAGACUUCAGGACAUGUUGAAGUGGGAACAGGCCAAAAAUUCCCGUCUGCAGCUGAGGUGUAAGCAGCAGGAAGCGGAGCUGAAGCGCAGAGAGCAGCAAAGCAACCGAAUGAAAGAACGACUGACUCAGCUAAAUGACAGAGAGAAGGACAAAGAACAGCACAUCCAGCUGUUGAACUUUCUACCUGGCGGUCGAGGCAGGAAGGAGCAGCCGAUCAAAGCAAUUAAACAAGAGGAAGCGAUGCUGCUUCUGAUGCUGGAGCGCAGAGAAGCAGAACUACGAGAGGCCAUGAAGCUGCGACACAGCACCACCACCUUGCUGCACGCCAUCCGACUAGACAUGGAGCAAACCUUGUCAAACGUUCAGAAUGCUGAGUAUGAAUUCCUAAAUGAAGACAAAAGGUUAAUUCAAGCCGAGUCAGCACUUGGUGACCAUGUGACGGGAGGUGUGCUUCAAAGUUGGAAACAAGUGCAGAGUAAACUGAGGGAUCUUCUGACUGAAGGAGGACCCAGGUUUGAACCUUGUUUUGGUGUAAUGGAAGCAGAGACUGAACCAGGAGGUCUACAUCUUAACUGCAUUUUUCCUGAUGUCAUUUUUGAUCCAUCUUAUAUACCCUGGCUGUGUGCAGGACACACUGGUGUUAGCACUGAUCAGGACAAACUGCUGACUCAGCUGCAUGCAGAACUCAAAGAAAGUCAACAGAUUGUCAAACUACAACAACAAAUUCUGCAGGACAGUCUUCCAUCGUUGGGCCCAUCAGAGCUGACUGAUUCUUACUACUUGGAAGAGUGGGAGCGACUUCAAGCGCGUUGGGCGGAGUUUGAACAUCAGAAGCAGACUUUUGAGAGGGAGAGGCAGUCCUUCACUGACGCCGCCAUACGCUUAAGCCUUGAACGUCGGGACUUUGAGCAUCAGAAGGCGUUGAUACUGAAGCAACAAUAUCUAAGUUGCUGCACGCAGGAAGUAAAUAAACUUCUCAAGUCCAGCACAUUUCCACGUCACACUUUCAAGCCCUAUUGGUGGCUCAUCUUACCGGAGGUUUUGUGGAUGAAAGCCUGUCUUGCUGCAUCCCCAUUUCUCCGUAUUCCAAAGAGCCCAGCCCUGUGACUUGUGAUCCUGCCUCAGGCGACAGUCAUGGAAGAGACAGAUUUUUAACACCCACUACUCCUGAGCUCUAUGCUGUCCUCGGUCUGUCCUAUCAGUGCAGUGCCAAAGAUGGAGAAAGAUGAAAGAUGUGACGCAAGGCGAACUUGACCUUUGGACUGCUCGUUUUUAAAACUUUUAAUAAAGCUAAUUAAAACAUUUAA
Non-coding RNA from Nerophis lumbriciformis (worm pipefish), 1562 nucleotides. The record is from RefSeq and is a predicted model, not a curated record. Lineage: Eukaryota; Metazoa; Chordata; Actinopteri; Syngnathiformes; Syngnathidae.